GAUGAACGCUGGCGGCGUGCCUAACACAUGCAAGUCGAACGGGGGCCAGCGGCGGAAGGGGAUGGUUUACCAGACCCGGAAGGCGCGGGCCUUAGUGGCGGACGGGUGAGUAACGCGUGGGGAACCUGCCCCGUACCGGGGGAUAACACCUGGAAACAGGUGCUAAUACCGCAUAACAGAAGGGGACGCAUGUUCCUUUCUUGAAAACUCCGGUGGUACGGGAUGGACCCGCGUCUGAUUAGCUGGUUGGCGGGGUAACGGCCCACCAAGGCGACGAUCAGUAGCCGGCCUGAGAGGGCGGACGGCCACAUUGGGACUGAGACACGGCCCAA
RNAcentral lists this ribosomal RNA (332 nucleotides) under uncultured bacterium. Its description in RNAcentral is "bacterial SSU rRNA". It matches the Rfam family "Bacterial small subunit ribosomal RNA", at positions 28 to 334 of the family's 1533-position model. The record is from RNAcentral.